Molecule: RNA transcript, 3575 nt
Organism: Brassica rapa (field mustard)
Lineage: Eukaryota; Viridiplantae; Streptophyta; Magnoliopsida; Brassicales; Brassicaceae
Source: RefSeq, a predicted model, not a curated record
AACAAAAUCAAAUAUCAAAAUCCCUAAAUUCUCUUUCUUUCUCUCUCACUUCUUCUUCUUCUACCUUGCUCUUCGUCAAUUCUCCCCCCUCUCUCUCUGUCACAGCCCGAUGAGCUUACCUCAAGCUUAUCAAAAUCCUCACCGGUUUAGAAGUCAAAGGAGUUGACCAAUUGGUCUCGACGACGGAGAAAAUUGAGAAGAUGGAUGACACUGAGCUACGCACGAGCAUCGAUCAGAAGAUGGACGACGCUUCACCCGCAAAUCCUGCCCCACCACCCUCCUCGAAUCAUCAGAUUGAAACCCUAGAGACGGAGCUCUCCGCCAAUCCUAACAACUGCCAAACUUCUGGAGAUCCUAGCCGUGGAGGAGCGUGUGUAGAAGAAGAGUCUUUGGCUAAGAGUAAAGGUCAAAAUGUGAAUGACAUGGACGCAGAAGAUAAGAGUGAAACUGAAAAGGCAGCUAAUUUAAAUAAAGAAGAGGCAGAAGAAGCCCAACCAGUGAAGGCACAAGGUGUAAGCUCUAGUAACCUUCUUAAGCUCGAUAGUGUUGAAGGCCCAUCAGAUGCUCCGCUGAGUGCUGAGAUAUCUAAGGAAAAGCAGACAGGAAUCUCUGGAAAUUUUCUUGGUGGAACUGGAGCGGUCUCAUCUAGUUCGGUAGGACAUGUAGCUGUGUCUUCUGAUUCUGUUAUUGUCAGUGUGGAGUUGGAGAAAAUUAGUCUUUUGCAGAGUAGUCUUGAUUCAAAUGAAGUGAGCAGGAAUGCGUCUGAGACCGUAUGUGCGUCGCACGAUGUGAGUCUUGCCCAUAGUAGCGAAAAUGUGCCUUCAUUGACUCAGGUAACGGACAACCAGGAUUCUGACAGUUCGUCUAGAUUAUCAGGUGGUCAUGGUAGAAAUGAUAAAGUUGCGAAUGACAGUAUGACUGCUCAUGCUGGGAAUGAAGACAAAAAAGAAUUUAAGGGACAUUUAGACACAGAGAAGAGAGUGAAACGGAGAAAAAAACGCAGGUCUUCUAGAUCAAUGACCAUAUCCCAGCGCCUUGGAGCAAUCGACAAAACAACGGCUGAUAUUGACCUUGGUAUCUUGGAUGCCUUGGAGAUCGCUACCAAAGUUGCACAGGAAGUGGCAAGAGACGUAGACUCUGGGGAAGCUUCCCGAAGUUCUUCAGAAGAACUAUCUGAUGAAAGCGGGCAGUCUGAUUCGCAACACUCCCACGAUGAUGAGCUACACACAGGUUCUCCAUCUAAAAGAUUAUCAGUGGGUGAAAGUCAUUCCCUUGAGGAACCGCACGAUGUAAUGGAUGAGAAGAAUAAUAAACGUGAGGAUGGGAUGGUGAACACUGAUGAUGUUAAAGAGAAGCACCUGGCAGAACCUGCUAAAUCCGAGGUAGGGAGAGAGAAAAGCCCAUGUGGCUUUGACCUCAAUGAAGAUAUUUGUCCUGAUGAGACCGAUGACAUUAUGUCUGUUUCAUAUUCUGGUAUGCCUGCAGCAGCACCGUUGCAAUUGGAAAGAUCUCUUAGUGCGAAAGGUUUGGCUGCUUGUAGUGUAUCUCACUCGGAAUCACCUCACAAAGUUCCUAGCGGGGAUUCAAGAGAAAAGCAGGUGAUAUGUGUCGAUCUGAAUUUAGCUGAUGUAGGAGAUGAUCAAGUUGAAGAUCAAACUCCCUGGAAACAGUUUCCUUUCUCCUCAUCAAGCUCUAGGGGUGGAGAGUACUCACGUGAAGCUAAUUUCCGGGGAUCAAGCAGGUUCAACCUGGAUUUGAAUUGUACAAACGAGGACGAUGACAUUCCUCCACCUUCUGAGUUGAAGAUGGAAACAAGAUUGUUUUUAAGUCACAAUGGGCAGCAAAGCGCGUCACCUUCAGUUUCUCAGCAAUCAGGGAAGGAAGUAAACUUCGACUUGAAUGACAGGCCACAGUUUUUCAUCGAUUCACGUGAUCAGGGUCCCUACUAUGGGCAGCACCCGUGGAGCACAGCCUCCUAUGGAGGGCACAAAGUGGAUGAACCGGUUAUCUCUCUAUUGGGUACAAAAGUGGACGUUGACAGAAAAGAGACUGUUUCCCAGAUGGCUUCGUUCCUGUCCAAUGGUAAGUCCCUCGAGACAGCAACAGGAUUAUACAUGGGAAAAACAGGAAACUCUUUGGGUUUAGCACCUGGAGUGUCCUUUUCUCCAGCUCCUGUAUAUGGGUACAACGGAUUUACUGGUCCUCCUGGGAUGUCAAUGUCAUCAUCGGCCAUGUAUGUUCCUGGAACAGCUAUUCCAUACAUGGUGGACGCAAGGGGUACGCCAGUGAUGAUGCCUCAAAUGAUGGGAUCGACUCCAUAUGCACAGCCACCAUUUCCUCAACAGCACAUGUUCAUGAGCUUGGCGGGUGGAUCGCAUAGUCUGAAUGGAUCUGUGCAGCCACGCUUUGAUCAAAGUUAUGGGUUUGGGGGUGAGAUGGGAAACCGAGAGUCGCUAAGUUUGAGGCAGUUUCUAUCACCUGGACAAGGCGAAGCUAUGGGAGAGCAUUCAGGAGCAAAUGUAGAGCCUUCAUCGAGCUUAUCUAUUAGCAUUGGUGGAAAGCGGAAAGAGCCGGAGACACGUUGGGAGUUCCCUCCUCCAUGGAGAUGAGUGAUUCGCAGAAAGUGGAGAUUGGGUUCUUAAUAGGUGGAUGGAUUGGUUGAUUGGUUAGAGAAUAACAGAAGUGUUGGGAGAAACAGAGUUUGAGCUGUCGUAAAGAACAAUACUUGGAGAAUAUCUAGCGGUUCAAAUUAUAUGCAUAAUCAGACCAAUAUCAAAGCAGCUAAACGUAACAGUUGGGGAAGUAGAAGAAGCACCCAGAAACUCAUUUUUAGCCUUGGAAGUCAGACGCAAUAAAGAAGUAUAUAAAGCUUCUCAGGAAUUAUGCAAACCUUGAAAAGCUAAGACAAGCAAGGGAAGCUAUGAGUGCCGUGUUUCCAUUAAGUCCUUCUCUGUGGCUUGAAUGAGCAAGGAAUGAAGCAUCUCUAGCCUCUAGAUGAAUUAGGACUGGCAUAUGUUGACUUUGUGGAUGAUGAGGACUUUGCAGCAGCUAUAGCAAAGAACAAAAAGAUGUUUCUUGGUAAGAAGAUCAGUAUAGAACGGUCAAAUCCAAAGAAGGGUAAAAAGAGGAUUUCAGUCGGCGUGGAAAUUGGGAGGAAUCUGUCUCUCUUCCUGGUUUUCCUCAAGUCUUGAGUUCAUACUUUAUCUGGUCCAAAGAAUUCUAGCCUGGUAUGAUUGCUUUCAUAGAAGGUUCGAGGAAUUCAAAGGACACAUCUCGAAGUUCUGAAUAGGCGAAAGCACCUUGGUCCCUUCUCUUCUCAUUCCCUUGGAUAUAGCUUUUCUUGUUCUACUUUAUUAACGCACUCUGAAGAAAAUCUUAUAUUGUAGACUGACAAUAUCGCAUCUGAGACUCAAAAAAGCAGAGACAAACCCGUUCAAGGGGGCUGAGUGAGUUUCCAUUGUAUACAUGUAAACACCUUUUGGUAGUUCUUGAGAUUUUGGAAGUUCUUAACUCGCGAGUAUAUAGUAUAUAUACUGUAAGGAGGUGUUAUUGGUUUAUAUAUUUUUAUUGAUUUA